CGGUAGCCUCCUCGCUGCCGUAGGCCAGCAGCAGCGCCUGAUGCUUCCCUCUGCACCACGCGGAAACAGGAGCCGCGAGGCGCUAAGAGGUGUCGAUGCGCUGCGGAGAACUGCACUGUCUCGGGAAGGAAGUCAAACCAAGAAAGCAGGAAAAGAUAAAAAGUGGAUGCCUGGCUAAUGAUCGUCCUAAAACAUAGAAGACUUCUCAGACGAAAACAGGAGCGCUUGAGUUCGAGUUUGGACGAUGCAGGGAGUUUGUGCCUGGAACAUAAAAAUCUAGGUGCCCAUCCAGGGCAAGUGGGAGCCUGCUAGAACAGUUCCGGGCCUGCUGGACGCAUCCCCAUGUACGAGCAGUGCUCUCCGGCCACUCCACCCCCAAUGAGACAAGAGGGACCCGCAGGCUGCAUAUCGGGGGCUUAUAUUGCCAUGAGGCCUCUUCGGGCGAUAUAUGCGACGCAUGGCCUGGAGAUGAGCUGGCCCUCAAGCAGGAUUUUGGCGUGAAGUCCCUGGGAGGUUGUCCCUGUCUAGCACACAAGCCUGAGGGUAUUGGUAAGUCACAGGAAGAUAACAAGUGGCUGUCAGUUAGAGCUAACUGUUUCUUUGUCUUUACUGAAGCAAACCAAUUUACAGAUUGGCUUUCAUAUUUAGAGACAAACCUUUCCUCAGGUCCUGCAGGGGUUUCACAACAUGCCUGCAGUGGUCAGAGAAGUGUUAGAAUGGUUGUUUGCCCGGAAUAUAGAAAAGGUGUUAUUUUAUGUGAAAGGGAGUGAGGGCAGGCUGUCAUUUUUAAAUUGAAUAAGCCUAUCGUCCCAGUGGUAAUUAGAUACCUUAUUUCCUGUGGCACUAAUAGGAAUUAAUACACAAGUAUCUCUGUGACCAUGUGAAAAGGUUUGUGGCUUCUGUGCAAAUCCAUUUCUCUUGCAGCAGUUUGUCUUAAUCUUACAAUGCGUUUGGUGCUUCAUGGCGGUGCAUAAUUUCUGCCUUUUAAAACUCAUCUGUAAGAUGUUUGCUGAAGUUGCUUGGGAGGCUCCGCCGGUGGGAUGCAGAAAAGAUGUCAUUGACUAUAUCCAUUGGAAGCACUGCGAGCCAGAGGCUCAGGGUGAAUAAUGGCUUAUCUAGGUUUGUUAACUAGCCCCAUUGUCAUAGCUUUUUAAGAAUAGUCAUACUUGAGAUCAGGUGUAUGUUGCUUACUUGAACAUUAUUGUGAAAAGUGUAGGUUAUCGAUGUUUUAAAAUAAGUCUAUGACACUGGGGUAGCAUAUGUAAUGAAGACUAAAUGCUGUAAUACCUCAUUUUUAUAUUAUCCUCUUCUAGAAAAGCAUUUAGAGCAGAUUAAAAUAUUGAUUGUAUUGUUUUGCUUAUUGAAUGGAAUGUAAUACUAAGAAACCUUAGUGAAGGUGAAUGGGAUACAGUGGUCUGACCCCCUGGAGAAAGCAUCUUAUGAUUUGCUGUAGGGAUUAGUACAAUUUUUACCAGACAGUAGUGUCUCUUUAAGUCCUGGGGAGCAGAAAGUUCUGACUUGAAGGCAAAAUGUUUUGUUGUUGUCUUAAAGUUCUUGCAGCUUGGUAGCAAGAAGGUGGCUAACAAUCAAAAUUAAUGACAAUUCUGAGGAAAUUUAAAAGACAAUGUUUAGCUUUUCUAAAAGGCUGUGUACUUUCAUUCCUAAUAUCUGUAGUGAUCAAGCCAGUAGUCUUUUUCACAGAGUAAUAGCCUGCAGGCUGUGAUCUCUGCUCGAAAAGCUGAGCUAUUUUAGAAACGGAACUUAGCUUGUUGCCUGCAGGACUGCAAAAGAUGAUCAGAACACUGGUCUUUUUUUAAUGCUUUAGUGUGGUAGGCAUACUCUCUGCAAACAUCCCUUACUUGUUUGCCCAGUUUUUAAGAUUAAACUUGCUUGAAGUGGGAUUGUAAAACCAUUCCCUGCAUCUAUGUUAGCGGUUGUUGAAAAUCCUCAGUAAUGGAGAUCCUAAAAUCUGCUGGGGCAGUCAGUUCCAUGGCAACAUCAUUAAACAGCUGAGGGCCGUUCUGCCUCCAAGUGGACUUUACAAAAUUAUUCUGGCUUUUGAAUUAAACUAAUAUUAAUUUAGCUUUCUUGCCUAGGAAGGAGAGGUGAAUCCCCUCGCACUGUUUCAGCCUGUUGGAUAUGCUGCUGUGCAUCAUUCAGGUUUGUGAACUGAAUGUAAGUACUAGGUGGUUAUGGGUUCUGUCUGCCUCAGAGGCUGCUACUUCCAGUUGUCAUUUGCGCUCUUUGAGAAACAUUUCAUCUUUUUAUGUAGACAUUGGUCUUAGUUGUCUUACUCUCAUAACUGAGUGUAAAACAAAGAUUGUGGUGUUAUUGUGCAUGACUUCCCUUAUGUGGUGCUUGUUAGUAUACAUAUGCUCUUCCUAGGAAUGACCUUGCUUGUGUGAGAGUGUGUGUGUGUGUGUGGUUUUUUUUUGUUUUUUUUUUUAAACAAAGUAAAGGGAACAUCUUUUUGACCUAAUAUUAAAGAACGUGGCACAUGUGCUUCUAAUGCUAAUGUAGUGUUGCAGGAAGCAGCUGAGAGCAGUCAAUAGCCCAGUGUCCAGUCAUGCCAAGACAGGAAUAGGAGGACUAGCUACUGAGAUUCCCUUGAGAGUGGAGAAAGAGGAAGAGAAUCCUGAUGGGAGGAUUAGCGCAAUCCCAAGAUCAUUAUAUGGGUACUGUAAUUGGGGAAACAGAAAGCUGACAGAAGAAAGAUUAAAGCUUUGUGAGAAAUAAAGGAUCUUUCCCAUCAUUCCUGAGUAAGAGG
Struthio camelus australis is the source of this 2767-nucleotide long non-coding RNA. The record is from Ensembl. Lineage: Eukaryota; Metazoa; Chordata; Aves; Struthioniformes; Struthionidae.